This 275-nucleotide signal recognition particle RNA is filed under the name Chlorocebus sabaeus (green monkey). RNAcentral's name for it is "Metazoan signal recognition particle RNA". It matches the Rfam family "Metazoan signal recognition particle RNA". Rfam says of the family: The signal recognition particle (SRP) is a universally conserved ribonucleoprotein. It is involved in the co-translational targeting of proteins to membranes. The record is from Rfam by way of RNAcentral. Lineage: Eukaryota; Metazoa; Chordata; Mammalia; Primates; Cercopithecidae.
GCCAGGCAUGGUAGCGGGCACCUGUAAUCCCAGUUACUUAGGAGGCUGAGGCAGGAGAAUAGCUUGAACCCAGGAAGUGGAGGUUGCAGUGAGCCGAGAUUGCGCCAUUGCACUCCAGCCUGGCAACAAGAGCAAGACGCCAGCUCAAAAAAUAANNNNNNNNNNUUAUUUUUUGAGCUGGCGUCUUGCUCUUGUUGCCAGGCUGGAGUGCAAUGGCGCAAUCUCGGCUCACUGCAACCUCCACUUCCUGGGUUCAAGCUAUUCUCCUGCCUCAG